UAUAUUUGCUUUCUCUUUCUUACACUGGAUAUGAGUAAAUUAAUGGUGAGAGAAUUUAAAUUAUUUAUUUCUUCUAAGAAUCAAGCUUCCAGUUUUUAUUAUGAACAUUUGUUUGUAUCCUUGAUGUGCUUUAAUUGAUUUAAAGGAACUUAGUAUCCUAAAAUCGAUUAAAAUUCCGAUUUUCGAAUGUGAUGCUUAAAAUUAUAUCUGGCACUAUAAUUCUCUGAAAAUUUCAAAAGGAUCGGACUAAUAUUUUGAGGAUAUUUGAAUACGAGAUCAUUUUCACAGAAUUGAUAUCGAAGACACGCCCUCUUCAUUAUUAUUUUACUAAUUUUCGCAUUUGCCCUCGUCACAAUGGUCGUCCUUGUUGCAUCAGAGGAAAUCCAAGGAGAAGGUUUCCAAGGCCACUUUGAUCAACACGGCUACAAAGUGUCCAUUGAACAUCAACCUCAUGGCCAUGAACAUCACCAAAAUGGUGGACACGGACAUAGCGAACGUUAUUUCCACUUUCAGCACCAUAGUCACCAUCAUCACGGGCAUCAUGAAUAUGAAUAAACUAACUCUUAAGAGCUAAUAACAGUUGAAAGCUACGAAUGUGAAGAUUGUCCAGGGCAAUAGUAGAAUUACAUCUUACAACAUUGCAGAUACAGAAAAAAUCAGAACUGGAUUUUGUGUGCAUUUUAUUAGUUAUUGUUUGCCGUAGAAAUGAA
This is a long non-coding RNA of Argiope bruennichi, 710 nucleotides long. RefSeq lists it as uncharacterized. The record is from RefSeq and is a predicted model, not a curated record. NCBI's taxonomy places the organism in Eukaryota, Metazoa, Arthropoda, Arachnida, Araneae, Araneidae. The transcript has 3 exons.